This 490-nucleotide ribosomal RNA is filed under the name uncultured bacterium. Its description in RNAcentral is "partial 16S ribosomal RNA". It matches the Rfam family "Bacterial small subunit ribosomal RNA", at positions 30 to 507 of the family's 1533-position model. The record is from RNAcentral.
AUUGAACGCUGGCGGCAGGCCUAACACAUGCAAGUCGAACGGUAACAGGAAGAAGCUUGCUUCUUUGCUGACGAGUGGCGGACGGGUGAGUAAUGUCUGGGAAACUGCCUGAUGGAAGGGGAUAACUACUGGAAACGGUAGCUAAUACCGCAUAACGUCGCAAAACCAAAGAGGGGGACCUUCGGGCCUCUUGCCAUCGGAUGUGCCCAGAUGGGAUUAGCUAGUAGGUGGGGUAACGGCUCACCUAGGCGACGAUCCCUAGCUGGUCUGAGAGGAUGACCAGCCACACUGGAACUGAGACACGGUCCAGACUCCUACGGGAGGCAGCAGUGGGGAAUAUUGCACAAUGGGCGCAAGCCUGAUGCAGCCAUGCCGCGUGUAUGAAGAAGGCCUUCGGGUUGUAAAGUACUUUCAGCGGGGAGGAAGGGAGUAAAGUUAAUACCUUUGCUCAUUGACGUUACCCGCAGAAGAAGCACCGGCUAACUCCGUG